This 376-nucleotide unclassified non-coding RNA is filed under the name uncultured Parachlamydiaceae bacterium. RNAcentral describes it as "contains 16S-23S intergenic spacer region". The record is from RNAcentral. Lineage: Bacteria; Pseudomonadati; Chlamydiota; Chlamydiia; Parachlamydiales; Parachlamydiaceae.
UCCGCGUUAACCACGGCAGUCUCUUUAGAGUGCUCAACUUAAUGGUAGCAACUAAUGAUAAGGGUUGCGCUCGUUGCGGGACUUAACCCAACACCUCACGGCACGAGCUGACGACAGCCAUGCAGCACCUGUUCAGAGGCCCCGAAGGGAGAUACUGUUUCCAGUACUGUCCUCUGUAUGUCAAGCCUGGGUAAGGUUCUUCGCGUUGCAUCGAAUUAAACCACAUACUCCACUGCUUGUGCGGGUCCCCGUCAAUUCUUUUGAGUUUCGGCCUUGCGACUGUACUCCCCAGGUGGUAUACUUAUCGCGUUAGCUACGACACAUUCGGGGUUGAAUCCAAAUACAUCAAGUAUACAUAGUUUACGGCUAGGACUAC